Molecule: ribosomal RNA, 508 nt
Filed under: uncultured bacterium
Lineage: Bacteria
Description: partial 16S ribosomal RNA
Rfam family: Bacterial small subunit ribosomal RNA
Source: RNAcentral
GACGAACGCUGGCGGCGUGCCUAAUACAUGCAAGUCGAACGCUUCUUUCCUUCCGAGUGCUUGCACUCAAUUGGAAAGAGGAGUGGCGGACGGGUGAGUAACACGUGGGUAACCUACCCAUCAGAGGGGGAUAACACUUGGAAACAGGUGCUAAUACCGCAUAACAGUUUAUGCCGCAUGGCAUAAGAGUGAAAGGCGCUUUCGGGUGUCGCUGAUGGAUGGACCCGCGGUGCAUUAGCUAGUUGGUGAGGUAACGGCUCACCAAGGCCACGAUGCAUAGCCGACCUGAGAGGGUGAUCGGCCACACUGGGACUGAGACACGGCCCAGACUCCUACGGGAGGCAGCAGUAGGGAAUCUUCGGCAAUGGACGAAAGUCUGACCGAGCAACGCCGCGUGAGUGAAGAAGGUUUUCGGAUCGUAAAACUCUGUUGUUAGAGAAGAACAAGGACGUUAGUAACUGAACGUCCCCUGACGGUAUCUAACCAGAAAGCCACGGCUAACUACGUG